This 501-nucleotide ribosomal RNA is filed under the name uncultured bacterium. Its description in RNAcentral is "partial 16S ribosomal RNA". It matches the Rfam family "Bacterial small subunit ribosomal RNA", at positions 30 to 523 of the family's 1533-position model. The record is from RNAcentral.
AUUGAACGCUGGCGGCAUGCCUUACACAUGCAAGUCGAACGGCAGCACGGGUGCCUGCACCUGGCGGCGAGUGGCGAACGGGUGAGUAAUAUAUCGGAACGUACCUUAUUGUGGGGGAUAACGCAGCGAAAGCUGUGCUAAUACCGCAUAAUCCCUUAGGGGGAAAGCGGGGGACCGUAAGGCCUCGCGCAAUUAGAGCGGCCGAUACCUGAUUAGCUAGUUGGUGAGGUAAAGGCUCACCAAGGCGACGAUCAGUAGCUGGUCUGAGAGGACGAUCAGCCACACUGGGACUGAGACACGGCCCAGACUCCUACGGGAGGCAGCAGUGGGGAAUUUUGGACAAUGGGGGCAACCCUGAUCCAGCAAUGCCGCGUGAGUGAAGAAGGCCUUCGGGUUGUAAAGCUCUUUUGUCAGGGAAGAAACAGCAGCUCUAACACAGUAUGCGAAUGACGGUACCUGAAGAAUAAGCACCGGUUAACUACGUGCCAGCCGCCGCAGUAA